GUCUACGGCCAUACCACCCUGAAUGCGGCCGAUCUCGUCUGAUCUCGGAAGCAGAGUCGGGCCUGUUUAGUACUUGGAUGGGAGACUGCCUGGGAAUACCGUCAACUGUGGGCU
RNAcentral lists this ribosomal RNA (114 nucleotides) under Piliocolobus tephrosceles (Ugandan red Colobus). Lineage: Eukaryota; Metazoa; Chordata; Mammalia; Primates; Cercopithecidae. The record is from RNAcentral.